This 785-nucleotide ribosomal RNA is filed under the name uncultured bacterium. RNAcentral's name for it is "bacterial SSU rRNA". It matches the Rfam family "Bacterial small subunit ribosomal RNA", at positions 115 to 895 of the family's 1533-position model. The record is from RNAcentral.
GCUUAGGAAUCUGCCUAUUAGUGGGGGACAACAUUCCGAAAGGAAUGCUAAUACCGCAUACGUCCUACGGGAGAAAGCAGGGGAUCUUCGGACCUUGCGCUAAUAGAUGAGCCUAAGUCGGAUUAGCCAGUUGGUGGGGUAAAGGCCCACCAAGGCGACGAUCUGUAGCGGGUCUGAGAGGAUGAUCCGCCACUCUGGGACUGAGACACGGCCCAGACUCCUACGGGAGGCAGCAGUGGGGAAUAUUGGACAAUGGGGGGAACCCUGAUCCAGCCAUGCCGCGUGUGUGAAGAAGGCCUUAUGGUUGUAAAGCACUUUAAGCGAGAAGGAGGCUACUGAGACUAAUACUCUUGGAUAGUGGACGUUACUCGCAGAAUAAGCACCGGCUAACUCUGUGCCAGCAGCCGCGGUAAUACAGAGGGUGCGAGCGUUAAUCGGAUUUACUGGGCGUAAAGCGUGCGUAGGCGGCUUUUUAAGUCGGAUGUGAAAUCCCCGAGCUUAACUUGGGAAUUGCAUUCGAUACUGGGAAGCUAGAGUAUGGGAGAGGAUGGUAGAAUUCCAGGUGUAGCGGUGAAAUGCGUAGAGAUCUGGAGGAAUACCGAUGGCGAAGGCAGCCAUCUGGCCUAAUACUGACGCUGAGGUACGAAAGCAUGGGGAGCAAACAGGAUUAGAUACCCUGGUAGUCCAUGCCGUAAACGAUGUCUACUAGCCGUUGGGGCCUUUGAGGCUUUAGUGGCGCAGCUAACGCGAUAAGUGGACCGCCUGGGGAGUACGGUCGCAAGACU